GUCAAGGCUGUGGCAGCCUUAAUGUAGUCUUAUAGAUGGAUGGUAGAAGGAUGGAAAGAAUAUUAAACACAAAUACCCAAGUAAAUAUAGAAAAUACAAUAUAAAAAUCUUUCAGAAGUCCAGUAGUGGUUAAGAAAUGUGUACCCGGUGUUGAAUACACAGCCAUGAGGUGAAAUUCAAGUCUUUUUCUCUUGAGGCUGUAUUUGACUAAAUUUAGAGCUGUCUGUUGUUAGAUCUGUGCUCACUUUCACUCUUUUCCAGGACUGUUGGUUCAGAUGUCCAGAACUCAUGGUUAACUUCCAACUCUCUGACCCCAGUGCAGACCCCUCCCCCACUCCCCGCCCCGAGGAACAGCCGGCACCACAGAGAAGCGCUUUGCUGGCUAGAGAGGCCGGCCAGCCCCAACCAGCUGACAUCCCACGCUUCCUACCCACCCCACUACAGGUUCUCAGCCUCAGGAGCAUGGCUUGAGCCAGUGACGCUUCAUUCUUAAAAGAAGCCUGGCUGUUUCUCCUGGAUUGGGCCACCACUGCUGAUUCAUAUUUGGUAACCUGACACUACUGAAGUAGACUGCUGGUAUCCUGACAAAUGGGGAUUGGAAUCGCCCCCAAAGAACGACUUCAAACAGGAGGAUUGUGCAAGGAUUUUGGAAAAGCCAUUGAGCACUCAAGAGCUCAAUGAACCUGGGAGCCUGAAAGAUGACAAUGUUGCAAGUGAUGACAAUGGAGGCCUGGCUUGUGAAGUUCCAGAAGUAAGUACAGUAGGCAUAACGUUAUUGUGCGCCAUGUAGAAGUUAUCCUUGCAUUAUUCAAAUGCUGAUUUCUGUGCCCCCAUAUUGGAUUAUAGUCCUUACUCUGAGUAUCUCUUGCCUCAACAUUGUAUAGGCAUUGCUCUCCACUUGUUCUCUGAUUGGUCAAUGACAAAGAUGAUCAGUCAAUGACUGAGCAGGGGAGAGAACAGGGUUAGACUUCUUCCAGGAUGGGGAGGAGGGAAGGAGAGAGAGAGUAGGGAUUCGGUAAGGGAAGAGAGUCAAGGAGACAUAAUGAGAAAACACUGGGAGCCCAGAGAGCCAGAUUGGUACUAAAAUGCAGGCAUCACUGGGAUUUUGACUGGGAGGUAGUCAGAUGAGCUGAGAGGAUUAAAAUAGAGCAAUAUUGCCUGGUUGUUGUGCCCUUAAAGCUUGUUAUAUAGAUAUAAUAGUCCAGUCUCAAUUAUUUGGGAGCUAGCUGGGUUAAGAGGAAAACUGCAACAAACAUUUAUACAUUGCCACUAACAGAGUAUCUUAAAAACUUUAUUGAGAUCAUUCAAUACUUUGGAUUAAGAAUCUGGGCAGCUAGGGUUGAAGAAUCAGCUGUGAUAGAAGGGACCAGAACCACUGAAGUGAAACCUUUGCUUUACUUGGACAAACAAUGCUGGUUAACUAGAGCUGAGACUUUACAAGUGCUUAAGAGACGAGACCAGCAUUACUGAGGUAAAUUUUUCUGGGGAUAUUUCCUCAGAGUCAGCGCACAGAAGCUCUGGUCCAGGAAAGGUCAAGACCGCAUCUUGUUCUGCAGACAAACUUGGUAAUGUAUAGAGUUACCCAGACAGUACUGGUUUUGAAGGCAGGAAGGGGGUCAGGAUGAGCAGCUGAGCCUUGGCACUGUGAGAGGCCAGGAGAGGCCAUUGGUGAAGGUGUGGCUCAGCCGAAGUAGAAGCA
Mastomys coucha (southern multimammate mouse) is the source of this 1699-nucleotide long non-coding RNA. RefSeq lists it as uncharacterized. The transcript is spliced from 3 exons. The record is from RefSeq and is a predicted model, not a curated record. Lineage: Eukaryota; Metazoa; Chordata; Mammalia; Rodentia; Muridae.